Molecule: ribosomal RNA, 370 nt
Filed under: uncultured organism
Description: bacterial SSU rRNA
Rfam family: Bacterial small subunit ribosomal RNA
Source: RNAcentral
CGAAGGGGGCUAGCGUUGCUCGGAAUUACUGGGCGUAAAGGGCGCGUAGGCGGACAGUUUAGUCAGAGGUGAAAGCCCAGGGCUCAACCUUGGAAUUGCCUUUGAUACUGGCUGUCUUGAGUUCGGGAGAGGUGAGUGGAAUGCCGAGUGUAGAGGUGAAAUUCGUAGAUAUUCGGCGGAACACCAGUGGCGAAGGCGACUCACUGGCCCGAUACUGACGCUGAGGCGCGAAAGCGUGGGGAGCAAACAGGAUUAGAUACCCUGGUAGUCCACGCUGUAAACGAUGAGUGCUAGUUGUCGGCAUGCAUGCAUGUCGGUGACGCAGCUAACGCAUUAAGCACUCCGCCUGGGGAGUACGGUCGCAAGAUUA